Non-coding RNA from Acanthosepion pharaonis, 113 nucleotides. The record is from the annotation of a GenBank genome assembly. NCBI's taxonomy places the organism in Eukaryota, Metazoa, Mollusca, Cephalopoda, Sepiida, Sepiidae.
UUACGGCCAUAUCACGUUGAAACACCGGUUCCCGUUCGAUCACCGAAGUUAAGUAACGUCGGGCCUGGUGGGUACCUAGAGGGGUGACUACUUGGAAAUACCAGGUGCUAUAA